UACGGGGGGGGCAAGCGUUGUUCGGAAUUACUGGGCGUAAAGCGCACGUAGGCGGACUAUUAAGUCAGGGGUGAAAUCCCGGAGCUCAACUCCGGAACUGCCUUUGAUACUGGUAGCCUAGAGAUCGGAAGAGGUGAGUGGAAUUCCCAGUGUAGAGGUGAAAUUCGUAGAUAUUGGGAAGAACACCAGUGGCGAAGGCGGCUCACUGGUCCGAUACUGACGCUGAGGUGCGAAAGCGUGGGGAGCAAACAGG
RNAcentral lists this ribosomal RNA (253 nucleotides) under uncultured bacterium. Its description in RNAcentral is "partial 16S ribosomal RNA". It matches the Rfam family "Bacterial small subunit ribosomal RNA", at positions 524 to 776 of the family's 1533-position model. The record is from RNAcentral.